RNAcentral lists this long non-coding RNA (8208 nucleotides) under Orbicella faveolata. RNAcentral describes it as "uncharacterized LOC110047250, transcript variant X2". Lineage: Eukaryota; Metazoa; Cnidaria; Anthozoa; Scleractinia; Merulinidae. The record is from RNAcentral.
CCACUUCGAAGUUGCUGUUUGCCUCUUUUUUAGAACAAAUGCUCGUGCAAAACAUUUCAAAUGAAAAUUACUUGAUUUCCAAGAGAAUGAACGUACAGGUGACAUGCAUUUUCAUAUGACUAGUUUUGCAGAAAGACUCAUUUUGCCACAGAGGCAAAAGUCAACUAUUCAUCCAGGAGCUGGCUCAGGGAGCCUUUGAUUUUCUGAAAAAUGCUAAAGUCAGCAGUUUUCUUCAAGAUUCAAGGCUAAUUUUAUCUUGGAAAAAUUAAUGGCUACCCCCAGGUUUCUUUGUGGAUUCUAAUAACCCUAGCUAAGAUCUACUUUUUCUACGUUUUCCACGUUUUCCUAAUCUGGUGGAAACACAUUUAUAUUAAGUAGAAACUGUUUUUUAAUGAGCCUGAGACACACCUCAGUCACUAACGUUCAGUUCUGUGAUGGAGCACAGCUGCAUGUUUGCACAAGACUAGUCUUCAACUCUGUGUAGGGGGCUUUAUGCGAUCUUUGUAUGUUGCAAACAUCUAGAUCAAAAUACUUGCAUGUCAAGAGAAACCUGUUGACACUUGCUUUUUACUGAAAACCGUUAUAGAUGCAUUUAAAGGCACACAAGUUGAAUGAGUCAUAAGCAAUUGGAUGAGUUAAUUUACACUUGCCAAGAAUAUCUGCAGCUUGAUUCUCAGCAGGCUGUUGUGUCUUCUUCGAGGACCUCCCCCUGUCUGUUUCUGAGCUUUGCAGCCAUUUUUGUGAAGAAGGAUUGAACAUGGCAAGAAUUCAGGAACUCCUCUAAGGUGAACCGCCUAAUUCUGUCCUCAUUUUUAGUGAUACAGUAACUGCUUCAACUUUAUGGCCAUCUCCUGACCUAAGAAAAACUCUUCUUCAAGGUAGUUUCUUUUGUUUUUCAUUGAAAUGAGUGGCCCUUUUCGUCACUUUAGGGCCCAGCCUUUAGGUUUUAUUUCAUUAGCAGGGGCUGGAAGUGUAGAACUUGCUAGGGCCAGGUGAAUACCAUGAUUGUCGCUAUAGCGUAUUUUGGCCUUGUCAAAUAGGUUUUCUCUUUCAGGAACAAAUCAACAUGAAGUGUACUGUAGAUGCUUCUUCAGUAAUUAUCUCAGCAUUACCCUGUCUGAUGCAAAAGUGGAACGGCUAAGAAAAUAUAAGGAGUUUGAAUAAAACGCUGCUUACCAUUACUUCUUGCACACUGCUUUUCAGUCUGCUGCCUUUUGCAGCUUUUGAUGGCAUUUCGGGCAGCAAAAGACAAGUAUAAUGCUGAACAAAAAAACAAGUUAGAGGCUUUUUAUUGGAAUUCUAUCCCCAUUUUAUUUGUAGUAAAUUAAAACUCUGCGGAAAAACUAAUGGCUGUCAAUGAGCUUAGAAUAGUUGAUUGAUCUCUUUUCAAAGGCACAAAGGGUGUCGUGUAAGAAAUUAGUUUUAAACGGUACAGAAUUCGGAAGACUUUUAAUUCUCUGUUUAUUUCUCCAGCCCCAUCUUUGUCUAUUUAUUCUGGGUACGAGGGUAUCGAGUGUGGGCUUAGAAAUAACUAACAAGGGGGUGCAUUACCUAACCUCAAACCCCUAAAAUCGUGCACCAAACUCUCAUAUUCCACUGUGAUAUAAGUACUAAAAGUCCAGAAUAAAAGCUUAUAGCAGUUGGCAUACUUUUAUUUUAUCCUAAAUAGUAGACCAUUGGUGAGGUCCUUAGGGGGAAGGAGGGGAAGGGCUGUGUAUCCCUUAUCCUAUUAAUUUUUGGCGUAAAUAUCUUGUAUCCUGUUAAUUGCAGCUUAAGAUUUCCUACUCAAUUAAUGUCUCGUUUUAUCUGAUCUAAACCUGCUCUAAGGUGGUGAGGUGACUUCCAAUUUGAGCAACAACAGUUGGUUGGGCAUCAAGGGCUCAUUCUUGUUUGGAUCACUGGACACGGUAGUGAUGGGUCAGCAAUUCAUGAUACUCUCAACUGCGCACAUUAAUGUGGCCAGACUUUUGUCAUCAGUAAUUUGCUCUCACAGCAGGGCUUGUAGAAUCUUCCUAAUGGUUCAGAAGCAUCUCUCCCAAAUGCCUCGAAAGUGAGAACCAUUUGAAGGGCUGAAGAACCAGUUGAUGUUAUUUUGUAACAGGGAAUCAUGUAUCCAUUCCUGAUUCCAAUCUGAAAUAGAAUCACACAACUCCUUCUCACCACUGGUUAAGUUUGACCUGUUAUCUGUGUAGAUUUCCUUCACUUGGCCUCAUCUUGCAAUGAAACAUCGCAAAGCCAAUAAGAAUGAGUGUGUGCUUAGGCUGUGUGCAAUUUCGAGGUGCAUAGCACGGAUUGCCAGACGUGAAGAUCACAGCAUAUCUCUUUAAGAGGCUCCACCCACAACGGACUUGGAAUGGGCCAAAGUAAUCCAUGCCUACUGAUGUAAAAGUUGGCUUCUCAGCGAGCACACAACUUUCUGGUAAAUCAGCCAUCUUCUGUUGGCAAAGUAGUGCCUGGCAACAACGGCAACUGACACACUUUUCUAGAACACUUCUUGCAGUUGAACUUCCUUGGUUGAUCCAGAAUUUCUGCCUAACUGAGGCUAGGACAUGCUCUCUACUGGAAUGGCCACAUGCCCUGUGGUAAUUGCCGAUGAUCACUCAGGUAAUGUGAUCUUCUUUUGGAAGAAUAAUCAGGUGCUUUGAUUCCAUGAGUAAUGAUGCUUUGCGCAGCCGACCACCAACAUGUGAAAGCCCAUCAGACGAUUGGAUCGAGCUUGUACAGGCAACUACUCUUCUUAACUGGUGUUUUGGGAUGGUUGAGCUCCUCAGGGAAGGCUCUUCUCUGUACGUGCUUCAGAAUUUCUCUCUCUGCUCUCUUGAUCACUUCAAGGGUGAUGUAUUUUGGAACAUCGCGGCUUAACUCGUUCUUCUUGCCUGCCUUCAGAAGUCUUUCUCCGUAGCACAGGAGCCAGGCAACAACUUUCUUUAGAUAGAUCCAGGAAGAGCAUUUCUUGAAAUAUUGCAGCAGUGGACAGCUUUGCUUGCCUAGUGACAACAUGCACACUUUAACCUCCAUCUUCACCUCAGGAUCUCCCUCGGGGACAUCGUUAAUUGCUUCUGUCUGCAUUGGCCAUGUGUUCGGGCCUCCAAAGGUUCUCCAGCCCCAUUAACCAACACCCUUGACUAAGGAAGACAUCUGCUGUCAAUCCUCGAGAGGCGUCAUCAGUGGGAUUCAUGUCACUAGUUACAUGGUUCCAUAGAUGGGGUUCAGAGCCAUUACGAAUAAGUGUGACACGAUUAGCUACAAAGGUGUGAUGUAGCGGCGUCAACUCUGAUAGCGGAGAGAUCCGUGAAACUAAAAGACUAAAGACUUGCAGCUUCCACAAGGCUCAGGUUUAUUGUGCCAACUGUUACAGCGAUUCUGUAUGGUGGGACGUGUUAGGGCGACCGCUCUAGUAGGUUCUGAGUUGUACAACAAUAACUGGUGGUUCCCGUCGAAUUUCUGUGAGCCUUAUCGUUUUUUUACAUGAGCUCAUGAUAUUAAGCUAAAGUCACAUGGUAGCUAGCGGAAAAUCAUUGUGAUGUAAAUGCGGUAAAAAGGGAAAUGCAUAAAAUUCUAUGAAAUAAAAACGAGGCAUGCGGGUGCCAUUACAUGUGGUAUUGCCUCGUUUUGUUCGUCAUGUAACAUAAUACUGCAGUGCUAUUCAGGCGGUGUGCGUCAUGACCCUAAAGGUUCAUGAGUAAAAAUGUGACCGUAGCUCAUUUCGAUCCAGACACGGUCGAGUACGCAUCUCCCAGGAGUCAUUACAGUGAGAGUAAACAUUGGAAUCAAAACGCUGCUUCCUUUUCUGAAAAGUGUUACAGAUGAGAGUAGUUUAGAUCAUUUCAAAGAUCUCACAGUGGCUGUAGAGAUGCAUCUUGUUGGCUUCACAAGGCAAUUUCAUUAAGUUUAUUGCGAUUUAGCAAUGAUCAAAGGUGUGAUUUUACAGGAUUUUAGCCAUGUAAAUCUCCGGCUUCUCAGAGGGUUUUCUGUAGUUAUUUGUUAAGCUUGAGCUUAUGGUUAAGAUUAUAAGUUCUAUAUAAUACAUUUUCUCCCAGAGUGAAAGAGAUCUGUAGUUCUUACUGGAUUUACCUAAGUACAAAUCAAUUCGACCAUUAGUAGUGUUUGAUGGACUUUCACUGAUGGACUUUGACUGCCAGGCAAGGAAAGGGAACACAAACAUUGGACAAGGUGAGAAAUCUUCAUCAUCUCUCGUGUCAGUUUUAUUUUUCUUCGACUAGUUUAUUUCACAGCCAUUGACUGCAAACAAAUCUUUCAUCAGGAAACAAGAGAAACAGAUCAAAAGAGCUGAACAGUGACGGCGCAUUGAGGAUUUAACCGGAGCAAGAAAGCCACUGGCUGGGGUGGCAGAAAUAAACCAUGAUCAUGUCUGCAGGUUCGUUGAAGUGAGUUUUACAGUACGAAGAGUUCGGAUUUUAUUAUUUACGUCACCGUUUAAAAUCUCGUUAAAAUAAUUGUCUAGACCUUCAACUGCAGUGCUUUAAAAUAUGGUAUAUCUUACUAUUCUUCUUAGACUUGCCGACAGAGGUCUAUCGAUUACGUGGUUGCUCCAUAUGAGGCAGAUGCCCAAAUAGCAUACCUCACAAAGAAUGGUUAUACCGAUAUUGUGAUUUCCAAAGAUUCUGAUCUUCUAGCAUACAGAUGCCAAAACAGUUUUAUUCAAGCUGCAGCUCAGUGGUGCAUGUCAAGUAAUCAAGCUUGAAAAGGCAUUGGCCCACUUGUCAAUGAGACAGGAAAGUUUUCUUAACAUGUGUAUUGCUGCAGGUUGUGACUACCUUUCAAAUGUACAUGGAAUCAGGAUUCACUUAGGAAAAAAGCUUGUGACAGAAGGAAAUAAUUUCUUGGCUGUUCUGCAGAGCAACAAAUAUGCCCCAGGUGAAUACACCAGUGGAUUUCAAACAGCCAAGGCCAUCUUUCUGCACCAGACAAUGAUAAAUCCUGCUCAUGCAACAACAAUCCCAUUAUCACCAUGGGAAGAAACUCCUGAUUCACAAUCCCAAACAUCCUGUGGGAUAUAUCCACAUAGUUAUUAUACCUAGUAUAUGUCUGUGAGAAGAAUACUUCCAAAAACUCCAGUUUUCGCAUGAAAGCAGGUGAAGCCUUAUUAGUGCACCCUAAUACCCUCUUGCUGGUUAAUACCCUCUAACUGGUCUUCCCUCUUGCUGCUUGUUUUUUCUCAUAACCGAAAACAAACCCUGCUUAUUACCAUAUUAAGUCAGCUUCUGCAUAUUAGGGAAUUUGGGAACUCAAAAUGGACCCAACAUAUUGUCGUGUGAGAGAAUUUCAUGUUUAUUUAUGUCUACAAGUCUCCUGCCCUCCCCCUCCAAAGAAACUCAACAUAUAACAUUACAUUAAACUCUUGUCUUUUUUUUUUACUAGUAAUUGUUCAAGUCAGCAUGACUUUAUAUAUUAGUACUAUUAGUUUCCUUAAUAUCAAACAUGAUUAGCCUGCUGGCAAAAGAAUAUGCUGUUAACCUGGCUGUGGGUAAUGUUGACCCCAAGAUGAAGACAUCCAUUGCAAAUAAUUUUCCACUUCCUGCUUAGGCGAUUUUGUGGCAGCCUAGAGACCUGUGCUUGUCAGUUGAAACUAUAGACAAUCUAAACAUUAACUGGACUAUUCCUUCACUUCCUGUAUUGACAAUCGAAUUUGAGAAGUUGCAUGUCAAUAACACAAGGACAAUGAAACCAGCCCUGAUCAAGGCAGAAGAUACUGACUGAGUAAAAGCAGGCGAUGUAAAAAUUUGCACCAAAUGGUGUGAUUUGGUAACGGAAAGUGUCCCUUAUUUGGUUCUCUUGGAAUUUAGACAGUCUGAACCACCAGAACUCAGUAAUGGUUUAAUAAUUGAUGUUGCGGAUGACAAUUCAAGUGACAAGGACAGCAAUGAUUAUUCAGUGUAUACUGUUCCUUUUAAAGUGCUCAGAGUAGCGUAUAAAGGUAGACAAACCUACCUGAAAAAAGCAUAUGUGAGUUUGGAACAAAAGCAAGAGGUAAUAGCAAAACUUCAACGAUUACGACCAGAAUGCAAUAACUGUCCUCAUAAACUUUGCAGUGGCUGGAACAAAGUGGGUUACAUUACCAAGGAGUUAACAAGUGAGCUACAGCCCCUCAUUGACAAUGGCAAUAUCAAAGUUAAUGUUACACAUAUUUGCUUCAGAGUUAACUAUUUGCAAGUUGGCUUUUACUUCACAUUAAAUAUUUCUAGAACAGGACAGUGGAGCAAAAAGGUUUUCAAGGCUGCUAAGAAGGCCAAAUAAAUUUAAAACACCUCAUGUUCAGACUAUAUUUAUUUCUGUGUGAUAUUUUCUUUACCAUUUUGGUAGAGUACAUUAAUGCCUCUGCAACAAAGUUCCAAAAAAUCUAUAGGAAUAAAUGGCUCAAAAUUGUGGCUAAACUCCAGAUACAUGUACUGGCAAAACAAAUUCUGCAUUAAGUCUCAUCUCAUGCAUGAGCGCAUUGAUGGCAAUAAUUUGAUAACUUUGGCAAUUGAAACUCCAAAACAUUCCUGAUUGCCAAUACAGGUGACAAGAGGGUUCUGUUUCCCUGCAAGGACUCUGGAGUAUGAGUAACAUCUCCAGGAUUUGUGGACCCUUCAGAUGGGCACCCUUGAAGUCCUCUGCUGAAAUAGUUAAUGCAGAGGUCCUCUUCUGCUUCUUCCAAUGUUUUAUACUUUUGGCAAAGGUACGAGUUGACCUGUUGUCUACAUGCAUCCCUGUUAAAAAAAAUAAUAAUACACAUCUGGCUCAGUUGCGGUGCAAAUGAACAUAAGGGUAAAUCAAAUAUCAUGUGUUCUAUUAUUCUUAUCACAAGUCAAUAAAUUGGUUCAGGUAUGUACAGAUUCUUCAAAAUAUUAGUACCAUAUCACUAACAUAGAGAGCAGUACUUUUUGUUUCAUCACUGUCACAUUUUAGGAAAUUUAAUAUCCAAGAUAGUUAUAUUUGAAAGAUGAUGUAAUGGAAACUUGCUGUCAUACUUGUAAUAUCCAGGAUUGACGCCCCAUCCAAAAGUUAUCUGCUUAAAUUAAUCUGCUUGUACCAAGGUUUUAGCUGGAAGGGUGUCCAUGCUGAACUCCUGGAGAUUUGCUGGAACCUUGCGGGUGUAACCCUUGUCAAUAAUGUCUGCCAUGAAACACUUGUAGUCGCUGUACAAGUCCUUGUAAUGUUGUACUUUCCUUUCACCAGAAAGUGCGUUUUUCUGCCGGCAGUUUGCUGUUUAGGACUGGUUCUUUGCGAUCUUUCAAAGGUAACUCCAUUUUAUAGUGACCAUCUCUCAAUACUACAGUACGCUCCAACUUGCAGAGGAAACGAAGCUCUUCUUGUGACAUUUCAGGUUUGUCAUCAGCACUGGAUUCAUUGAAGCCACUGUUGUAAAAAUCCUUCACCAUCUGAUGAAAUUCAGGAUCAGCCUUUAAAAAGAAACUUAUUGCAUGUGGGCCCUUGUGAUAACGCCCUAAAGGACCAUUAACCGUCCGUCCCUACUUGAUCGGGAAGCAUAAGGACCACCGUUUUGACUGCUUCACUUCCAAACAAUCAAAGAUAGUGGGAACAUCCCAGGCUAUGAGAAGACCUAUUUCGGCGUCAACCUCAGGUAGGCAUACUCCACACAAGUGUGGCCACUGGUCAAUGUCACCCUAUGUGGAUAUGUCCUCCUUUGAAAUGGGUAUUUUCAGUCUCAUAUAAAGUGCUGGCAAGUCGAUAAAGACAUUUUUACCCAGAUCAGAGAUGAAAAGAUCUUUCACAACGAAACUUUCAAUAAGGCUGUCUUUCUUUUCCAAAGUUGUUAGGGAAAUCUGAGUUCGUGUACCACUGACCCCUAGCUGUCUCAUCAAGGAUUCUGUGCAGAAUGUGGAGGAACUACCACUGUCCAAAAAUGCAUAGGUAAUCACAGGGGGACCUGUAGCUUUCAACCAAACUUUGACCAGAACAACAGCCAUGCCUAUUCUCGAAAGGUCAAGAUUAACCAUUCUGUUACGAAUGCAUGUGGACUCUUGUGGCGAGGUACUUGCAGAAGGAAUGUCGGAUGGUUGAAUUCUUCCCACAGUGUUCGUGUGAAGAAUUUUGGGAUGUUUCCUGGUACGGUUAGCAAUGGUACAUGUUUUCCUUUCCAGGCGUUCUUUUGCCAUGUGAUUGGAAGACAAACAACCAAAGCAGAGGUGUUUUGAUUUCAAGAAUUGAAUCCGAUCUGGAUACAGGAGGCAUCUAAUUGCA